RNAcentral lists this ribosomal RNA (431 nucleotides) under uncultured Glomeromycotina. RNAcentral describes it as "SSU rRNA". It matches the Rfam family "Eukaryotic small subunit ribosomal RNA", at positions 569 to 1009 of the family's 1831-position model. The record is from RNAcentral. Lineage: Eukaryota; Fungi; Glomeromycota.
AGCAGCCGCGGUAAUUCCAGCUCCAAUAGCGUAUAUUAAAGUUGCUGCAGUUAAAAGCUCGUAGUUGAAUUUCGGGAUCAAUAUGUCGGUCGUGCCUCGGUACGCACUGGCUUAUUGGUUUCUCCCUUCUGACGAACCAUGAUGUCAUUAAUUUGGUGUCUUGGGAAAUCAGGACUGUUACUUUGAAAAAUUGAGUGUUUAAAGCAGGCUCACGCUUGAAUAUAUUAGCAUGGAAUAAUGAAAUAGGACGUUUGAUUCUAUUUUGUUGGUUUCUAGGAUCGACGUAAUGAUUAAUAGGGAUAGUUGGGGGCAUUAGUAUUCAAUUGUCAGAGGUGAAAUUCUUGGAUUUAUUGAAGACUAACUACUGCGAAAGCAUUUGCCAAGGAUGUUUUCAUUAAUCAAGAACGAAAGUUAGGGGAUCGAAGACGAUC